Molecule: ribosomal RNA, 253 nt
Filed under: uncultured bacterium
Lineage: Bacteria
Description: partial 16S ribosomal RNA
Rfam family: Bacterial small subunit ribosomal RNA
Source: RNAcentral
UACAGAGGCCACAAGCGUUAGACGGAAUCACUGGGCUUAAAGCGUGUGUAGGCGGGAUGGUAAGUACCUUGUGAAAUCCCACAGCUUAACGGUGGGAAGCGUGCCGAUACGCCGAAACUGGAGGCUGGGCGAGGGUGGUGGAAUUGCCGGUGUAGUGGUGAAAUGCGUAGAGAUCGGCAGGAACACCCGUGGUGAAAACGGCCACCUAGCCCAGUCCUGACGCUGAGGCGCGACAGCGUGGGGAGCGAACGGG